UAUUAGGAUGUAUACAGCUCUGUGUUUUCAGAAACGUCUAAAUUCCACCUCUUAAAUAUCUUUUGCAAGUGGAACUUGCAAAAAAGCAGGGCAAGCACUGCUAGCACAGCUUUGCCGCACACUGUCAAAUGCUUAUAAACUCUAUUUAUAGCUACAGUUAAAGAUUCAGACAUGCAAGCGCUCCAUUAAAAGACCACAUUAAUGAGCCCUUAGAGAAAAUAUCUCACAAAGCCUUUUGAGCUUGUAACUGCUCAGUUGUUCAGGGCUUCUUGCUUGUUAACAUUCAUAAAAUAUAAAUACUGUAUACGAAACACCAGCACUUUGUGGAUCACGAUGACUUAUCUCCCCAGCAGCAGUGCAAGGUGUGAGGGGAGAGGCGGCAGCGCUGGUGUGGCCGAGCUCUGCCGCAGGCUGCCAGGCUGCACGGGUCGCUUGCCCUCCACCUCAUCUGGGACCUGCCUUUGCUCUGCAGAGCUGGCUGGAGAUUGACUCGCAGGUCAGUGUCUGUGAGUAUCAUUUCAGAGGGAACAAUCAAACCUAUUAGCUGAGAGUGGCAGAGCUGGGCCUCCUCGCAGCCCCAGCUCCAGAGCGUAGUGAGUAUUUGGAGCAAAAUCUAAUAGAUAAAAAUCACUGGAGAUUUUUUCCUUUUUCCUUCGACAUAAGCUAGCUGAUGAGAAGUGUCGUUUGAAAGAGAAAGAAGUUGCUAUAUUUGAUUUGUCAUUAUUUCCCCAUUGUCCCUUCCUGCCCAUGAUUUUACAGUUCCCAUUUUCUCUCCUUUGCCUCUCACAGAAUUCCAUAUUUUAGGUUGUGACAGAUGCUCUUGCUUGAAUGUUUUUGAUAUGUUUUAUUUGAAACUGUUUUAUCAAGUCUUCAUUGUGUAAACAAAAAUCUCUGGAGCCCAUUUAAGAAUAAUUGUCUGUAACCUUUAAUAUUGCAUUUCCAUCCAUCCACAAGUCACAAAGCACUUGAGCAGUAGAGAAGGCCGUUUCUGUGUUUAUAUCUGGCUCUCAGCAAGCUGCAGAGGCGAAGGCAGGGCAAGAUCAAGUAACUUCUUGGAUGCUAUUUUCUGGCACAUGUUAGCAAGCAGUCCAUGUCCUUGUCUUUGUGUUUUUGGUCCCGUAGCCUUUCAAACAGAAGGUGCUCUCCUGGAAGGAAUAAUUCUGCUCAUAAAAUGAAAAAUAAGGACAGCAGGCUUUAAAAAGCUUCAGGGCAGUUCUUACUGUUCAAAUGUGUCAUUGAUUUCGAUAGUGCAUUAGCAGGCUUGUUAAGCCGGAUUUUAAGUGCUCAGCUUUAUUUUAUGAUGGUGAGUACCUGAUUGUUCAAAAUAUUAGCAUCUUAUUGUAACAGCAAACUGGCUCAUGCCAUAAACUGCCCAGUGCUGAGACUGCUGCGCCAUUACUGAGUGCCUGAUAAAACAGGGUCAUUUGUAAUCAAUUGCUGAUGUAGGAGGGCAGGGCUGUGAUGCUUCAUGCUGCUCUCCUCAUGAAUUUCCCUUAAUCGGCCUUGGUCUGUCUGUUGACAGAGCAUUGCUGUCUGUCCCAUGUCCUGUGCUCAGGCUUCUGCUGAGUUCCUCCCGCUGAGCCCAACUGUGUUUCUGUCCAUCUGUGGGUGAGACUCACACUGGCUGUGCCAAUAACCUGGGAGACAGCAAAAAAAUCCUGUGCCUCAAGGGGUGAAUUGCUACACUGGGAGAUCUGGGUGGACCAACAGAGUCAGUACAUCAGGCACUCACACGGACAUCUCCAUGUCAGGCAAAUCUUUUUGUGACUCCACCCACUGACCAUGCUGACCGACCUCCACUAUCUAAAAGGGGAGCAUGAUCAGAUCCCCAGUUCUCAUGGUCCUGUUCAAACAUGCGACAAAUCCUUGAGGCGUAGAACAACUUUAACAGCAAAGUUCAAAAUUCAGUCCAGGGCACCUGUCUCACGUAUUGUCCCAUGUGUUGUGAGAUAAAUCCUUAGUGGAGCUGUGGGUGAGAAAGCCACCAGGAACAGGCUGCGCCCUGACUUCAGGGGUUUGGUCAAUGAGCAGAGCCUGCAGCCCUAAUCCUUAUCACCUGCAGGCACAGCCAGGGUCGGCUUCUCCUUCGGCCAUUUUGGCGGAGAUAACAUGUGUCUUCCGGGAGCAAGCAGGAGAGCAAAGGCUGGGGAAAGGGUGGAGGGUUGUGGGGGACAUUGGUUUUGUAACCCACCCUCUUUUUGUAUCUGGCUCUGCAGAAGUGGCACUGUGGAGUUUCUGCAGGGGAAGUAUGAGGGUCUGCAGUUCUUUCAGACUUCCAGGAGCAGCUGGCAAUGGAGCAGGGGACUUGGGGCUUACAACAGUGAUUGCUUCUCACAUCCUCUGGGGACUGAGCGUUCAAGAGUGCUUGAGGAGACAGAGCUACCCAACAAUGGGACUCAAAGCAGGUUUCAUACUAAGCUGGUGACUGCCCUUCAAGAAGUGCUGCAGAUCCCCAGUGACACAAGAGAGAACAAGAGCUGGGCCCAGCAAGACUGUCCUGCAUGGCCCAGGUGCCCUCCUGCUGAUGUUCAUAUUUCAGCAUGAUGUGGAAAGUGGGUAAGAUUGAACAUGUUCAUAUUGAAGUUUUGGGUUCCAGCAUUCAUCUGCAGAAGGAGGGAGGCAGAAGAGGAGUAAGUAGGGGGAAAUGGGCAGUCUUAAGGGCAUGUGGAUCUCUAGAAGAAUUUUUGAAGGGAAGAAUGUUCAGAUACAUGGAGGUAGGAGAUUGAAAUAAAAUGCCAGAUUUCACCUUACUGCAGUAGAUUAUGCCAGAUUGACUGAUCUCUUUCUUUGAUUAAAUUGAAUUUUAUGUCCUAGGAAAAGGAAAUGCUUAGUUCUCCUGCUUCGGAAAUGUAGGUGUCUGGUGAAACUGGAUGACCUGAGAAUUAAAAAGGGAAGCCUGAGACAAAAAAUGAUUUGGCCGGUGGGGAAAUUUUUUUUGUAAUUCUGUGUGUAGCUAGCAAGAGAUGAAGGAAUGCAAAACCUACUUUUGUAUGGCUGCAAAGCCACCUAGACCUCUAGACCUUUGCAGUAACAACCUUGUACUUUCAUCAGACCUGGACUGGUCUUGUAGGAGAUCUUUACUCCUAGUGAACCCAGGCAAUAACAUGUCAUGUAAACAUGAGGCCAGUUCUACACUUAAGUAUUACACAAACCUUAUUUUGAAAUACACUUUAGUCCUGAUGGACUUACAUGGCCAAAACCAGCCCAAAUUUCUUAGAACUGAGGCAAUUUUUUACCUCUGAGGGGCUGGGCUUUGUUAAGACAGUCAUGCAUCCUCAACUUACAGAUCUAAAUGCAUUAUAAAACACUGCUCCAUACCAUCUUCCUUUUUUUCCCCUUCCUUUUUUCCUCUCUUCUCAUUAAUUUCAAUCAUGUAAUAAGAAAAGCCCAGUUAUGCUAAUUGGUAUGACUCCUCCUCAAGGGCAUUGUGAAGCAUGAAAUAAUUCCAUUCAUUACUGACAAUGCAGGGACAUGAAUUUUCCCUGGAGGAUCUGUUUCAUCUUGUGAUUUGGUGACCAUACAGAAUGGUGAUCGGAUUAGGGACAUAUUGUUUUAAAAUUAAUUGUUUGUCAGGGAGAAGCUGGAAGAUGGUGGGGAAAGAGGAAGCUUAAAAUGCCAGAGAUUGUUUGACUUCGACGUUCUUGGAGGCUCAUGCAUCUAGUGGGUAUUUAUCAAGCAAACCCAGCUGCUGAGCCAUCAUUUGUCCCAGCUCUAAUUUUCUUUUUAAAAGCCAGCUGAGCUGGUGUUUGAAACAUGCCACAGACCGGCAGAGAGCUAAAUUGAUGUAAAGCUGGUCAGAUUCAUUUCUCCUUUUUUAUUUUUGGGAGUCAGAAUUUCAUUUCCCUAAAAUGCAGUAAGUGUUUGGGCAUGAACUCCCAAGUUGUCCAAAGAUCAUGCUGGAAACAGAGCCACCUUGCUGGGGUAUGUCCUCCCCUCUAACAGGUAGUCCAUAGCCUGCCAAGCAAACACUGCAGUCCUAGAACACAAACAGUGGUGAUUCUUGCUGAGAGGAAAACCAAUCUUUUUUUUUUCUUCUUUUUUUUUCUGUUUGCUGAGCUAGCAAAAAAAGCAUCUAUUUGUUCUUUUGCUGCAUUUGCAACAUUUUCAUUAGCAAAGGGCUGGGUUUUUUUUUUGGAAGUCAGGCUGCUUUUGUGUGAGGAAGUGAACCUCCUGACACUAUGUCAUUUCCCUUGUUUCCAAACAGCUUCUUGUCUGAGCACACAGCCUCCACUUAACAUCUGGCCGUAAAAGAGCAGGGAACUUUCUGCCAGCCAUUCCUCUGCUCUUUCCCUUGCUGUUCUCAGAUGAUGUUAUCAAAUCUUUAGUGCAGCUUUAAUUUUGUUGGAUUAAUGUGCAUGCUUUUGCUUAUUGUUCUUUCCGUGUCCUGGAUAGAUUUACUGGUUUGGUGACAGCCUUCCUUAGCCCUGAAGAGUAGGUCCAAGCCAGCAGUGCCGCACGUUGCAUGGGUGUGUUCAUUAGCUAAGUGCAAAAUACCGACGAGUCAGACACAUAUAUUGUUCCAUCUCUUAGGCAGCCUCUGCUGAGGAUUACUCAUGAAAAAUAAUCAGUAAAAUACGUUGCAGAUGAAGGCUGUGACAGGAGAGAUAACCCUGCCAUUAAAGGCCCCAGAAUGCAAGCUUGUCCCCCUCCCUCACAGAAAUGGAAACAUGGAUACAGUCUUUUAACUGAGUCAAUAGAGAUCGAUGCAAAGGCAAUAACUCAAGAAAUGGAUGCAUUAACCAGAGAGCAAGAACCAAUAUACUCAGAAGUUGAACCAUGGCUCUGGAAUUAGAUGUGCCGAGGGGAUAUGCACCAGGUUACUAAAAGCAAUUGAAAUCAUAAACAAAAGACUGAAACAAAAAUAAUUACAGGAUUUUAUUUUAAUCAUGUCAUAUAGUAGAAACUGAGAUUUAUGAGAGGCAUGGGAGUAAAUUAGCUUCAAGAUCAGGAGUCAACAACAUAUUUGCUCUUUGGGUUAUCUACAAGCCAGCCGUCUGUAACUGAGGAUGUGACUGACUUGAUGGAAAAGGAGCAACAACAGCCAGGGAUCAUGAAGUCACCUUCUCCAGGCUACCCUGUGCUAAGAAGAGCACAGGCCUUCUUAUUGCACAUGAGUAAAGGCUGGGAAUACAUGUUUUGUACUUCUACCCACAUGUUUUCAGAAGGAACAACCCCAAACCAAAAAAUGACAAAACACUGAAACACUUGCAGGUUUGACAAGCAUUUUGGAAUGGUUUGUGCAGUUGGAAGAAUGACAUAAUACCAAGCUAAUAUGCAUGUGAGGGAGCCAAAAUCCCCACUGGAAGAACUGUGGAAAAAAGCACAAAGGGAAGGGGAAAUACCCAGUAAAUGUGGUAUCUGACAAGUGCAGCUGCUGCCACUGUAGGUAUCCUGUGCCUACAACAGAACUGCUAAAAAUAGUGCUUGAUGGGAGUCUAGGCCAGGAUUUGGAGUCAAAUGCUGGCUUUAUGCAGCUCCCACAGUAAUUUCUGGGAAUGUCAGUGUUUAGCCAUGCUGGAAAAACCCCCAGCAGGCCAUAAUCUUGUCUAAAUACAUUCAGUGUGUGAUCUUUUCUGGAUUUUACUUUGUCGAAGAAUAGACUGAAAUCCAAAGUUACCUGGAGUGUGUGCUUGCAUUCCUCAGCCUUGUCAGACUGCUCUUUCCACGCCUUGCCCAUUGCACUGCACUCUCCCGUUGUUUGGGAAGGUGGUGGUGAGCAGGACAGUGGUGCCAGGAUGGACACUGCCUGCAUGCUCUGGGGACCAUGGGGUGCUGCAGGCUGCAGGAAGGAGAGGGAUCCAAGAUAUUUCCUUAACACUGGAGCUGCCUUCUGCUGUGACUGAAAGUAAAGGCUGUGGAGUGCUUUUGAUCCACCUGUCUGCUGGCAGGGAUUGCUGUUCCCAGGGACUGAUAGUGAUCCCAGCUAGGUCCCUGGUGCAGGUAAACUUUAGGAUGUAGUUCCAUCCCUGUGAUUUUUCAGCCCCACUGUUGGGGAUGUCUGGGAGUGUAUGUUUUAUCACUGGGAUACUCUGCAAGAAAACAGAAGGGGUAGAAGCCAAAACACUGAAAUAAGAUUCUAGAGAUGCAACUACACCUUUGAAUACUCACUUUACUGCCACAGAGCAAGGAGGAAAAUCUCAGUAAGAGACACUUGAACUUCUUAAGAAUCAUCUCUUGGCAAUAAUGACCCCUCAUGCAUAUUUAUGUACAGCACUUUGCUUUAUAAUGGACACUUGAAAGACAUUUAAUUAAUUUUUUUUUGCCUAGGAAUGAAGCUAUGUGGAUUGUGGCAAAGGUGUUCCAAAGUCCAAAUAUUAAAAUACAGAAAUGGUCCUGGUAUUUCCUGCUUGCCAGCCCAAAACUAUGUCCUGGGAGUAUACUGCUUAAGAAUUCAUGUACUGGAUGAAAUGAGUAUGUGUUUGCAAGCAUAUAUACAUACCCCUAAGAGUCAGUAAAAGCAGGUAGUUGCUACAGGACUUCAAUCAGGAUUUCCUGGAAGAAUUUCAGAAAGGUCCUAGGGCUUGGUUAGGUCUGUAAAACCUUUUUGUUGCACAGAACUUAAUGUUAUUCAUUAUGCACUGAAAGCAAAAUCAUAUGACUACCAUUUCCUAAGUAACAUAAUUAUCUUAUUGAUUCUUAUGGGGCAAAACACUACUUUUAUUGUUAAUUAAUACUGCUAAAUCUGGUUGUGCAAUUCUGGAUAUAGGAAGUUCAGUUUAAUGUGUGUUUAUGGGGAAAAGUCUAAAAAUAAAUGCUUUAACAUUUUUUUCCUUUCAGAAUGUGAGUAUAGAUAUUCCUUUGUGUGAUCCCUGUUCUUAGCACUACAGGAAAUACAAUCUAUUAUCACUUUUCAUCAGGGAAAAAGAAGCAUAGAUAAUGAAACAGAAAAAUGCCCUGUGAAAAACAUAUUUAAUAAGUUUUAAGUAGCUGAACCAAAAUGCACAGGGCAAAGAAACGUGAUGCUGCUGUUACGGAACCAAAGCUAUUUUAUGGGAAAUGAAAAUAAUACUUGCAUUAUUUCAAGGGCUUAUAGUUUGAUUCUUAUUUUAUAUGAAAAUGUAUCAGGAAAUUCUUCUGCAGGGGGCACACAAAUAGUAUCUUUUCUGUCCCAUGGAAAAGACAGUCAGACUCACUACACUCGAGGACAUAUAACGACUUUGUGAUUCUUUCAGUUCUCAGCCAGUGCUCUAAUGAAAUUCCAGCCUGCUACAUCUGCCAUACUACACUGUUAAUUAGUUUUCUAUUUAUUUAGCAGAUCUAGAAGUGGAAAGCAAUCUAUUGCCAGUGAAUUGUUUGACUUCUAUGCUAAGUAGGCUGCAUUCCAAUCCUCUGAUGUUGAAACUAGCAUGAAUCCAACUUUCAUCUCAUUGCCAUGUCAAAUUAGCACCCAGCAGAUUCUACAUACAAAGACUCUUUUUUUUUUUUUUUCCCCUCAUUCAUUUGUAAAGGACCUUGGAAGAUCUUGGAAGUCAAGAAAACAAAAGCUGAGCAAAUUUUCUCCAAUCUCUCUCCAUCUCCCUUACAUGUUGCAAUGGGUUAAACGUAGAAGGUGUAGAGGCUGUGCUUUGUUUAUAUUGAAAUAGGAAUGUUAUUUUAAGCAGACCAUGUUAACUAUUUGAAAGAAAACAAUACUGAUGCUUAUUCUGCAACUGUUUGAGUAAAAUACUAUCCAGCCUAGGAGAAACCCAGGGUGCCUUGGCAAAGUUCUGAGAUGACUUUUGCACAUGCUUUGCCAUUUUCUAUUUCUGUCUGAAUUCUGUAAUAUAUUGCAGCAUCCAAAUACAACACUGUGUAUGUGACUUACUCCUGUCUUGCAGUGUCAAUAAAGUCACUGGAUUGUGAAAGUAUAAAAUGAAGCCAGAUGGAAUUAGAAAAUAAAUUGGCUAGAAAUGAAGCUAUUAAUCCUGUCGUACUGCAUUGUAGGAGCUACAGUGUGUUAGGGGGAGUGUGAAAAUACAAAGGUACACCCUGGCUUUGGAGUUUGCCUUGCAUUUUAGGGUUUUCUAAAAUCUAGAUACAAACUUGAAUGUGCUUUUUGGGAUCAGGUUGGUUCUAAAGAAACCAGGAUUGUUCAACUGAUAAGCAAAAUGCUGGGCUGAAUUUUAGCAAAGCAUUGACAAAGCUGAUCACCCGCAGUACUGUUAUUUGUGGAGCAUCAUUGAUAAAGUUCUUGUAAUUGUCAAGGUGUUGGUUUUGAGUAAUGUACGAUGUAAAUUAGAGAAAAACAAUAUACAGCACAGGACAGCAACAUAGAAAAUCUGAGUCCAAGAGCACAGUGGUGGUAGUGUUCACAAUAGAAUAGCUCCUUUCAAGAGAGAGGAAAUAAAUCUCUUUUACUAGACCAAGUGAUAUUUUUGAAAAAAAUGUUUUUGAAUUUCAGGUCUGAAACAGAAAUAGUAAACUUUAAGUGCUAGUUGAAAACCAGUCUAUGUGAGUUGAACUUCAUUGUGUUACUUCAUUAGAUAGCUUGAAAUUAAUAUAAGAAAAGUUUUCUAAAAAUUAAAAUGGGAUACUUAGAAAGUUUGAAGCCAGAACUAGGCUCAGACAAGAGUAGAAAUUAGAAGAUAUCUGAAGGAGGCAGCACAGAUGAGAAAGGGAAAAAUGUGCCAAGUUUUAAACUGCAGGAAUGUGUUCUCAACCCAGGACAGAAAACCAGAAAGAGUGAAGACAAGUGAACCCAGCUCUUUUACUGAUUUAAAUUAAUGGCUGUCUUUCUUUCUGCUCUUUGGAGUAGCGGGAUUUUUUUUUUUUUUCAGUGAUAGAUAUUUUCUUGACUUUGUUAUUAUUUCUUUACCAUGUUCCAUGUUCCUCCCUUCCACCUUUAGGGAGAGAAACUUAAAAGACUGGUAAUUCUAACCCUGGGGGGAAAAAAUAGCCCAACAUAGUGAUAUAUUUAAUGGUGACAAGAAUUCCCUAGUGCCUCCUGGAGGCAUCCAUUCCUACAGCUCAGUGUUUCAUCAUGGUAGAAAAAAAAGGAGACAAACUGAAUGAGUCAGAGUAAUUUUCCUAAUUUUUUUUAUGUUGUUUUCCUAUGUUUUUGGCAUAUUCAGAAGGACUGAACAGUACUCCUUAACAAAGCAUGCCAUUAAGUAAAUGUUGCAUGUUUAAUGGUUGGGUUUGAACUUUUGAUAGUCAGGAAAAGGAAAGAAUAUAAGCCAGGAUUUAUUCAUCUUUUCCAGUGUUCACAGAGCUGAAUGGACUGAAAGAAGUAGCUGAAGCUAGAGGCAGAAAUCUGAAAGCUAAAAUUCUGCUAAUGAAGAUCUGUGAUGUAUAAGCAUGUCUUCCAAUGAUUAGGAAUAAAUCCAUGAAUUUCAGGAGCCUUGAAUAUACCUGGUCUGCAGUUUUUCCAAAUGGAUAAUUAUCUGCAUAAAUAUACUAAACAGUUGCCAGAAAAACUCAUGCUUAUUAUGAACUGCUCAUAAUCUUCCUGUAAGUUGCCAGAGCUGAAUCUCAGCCAAAACUCCCCUUGUUUCUACUCAGAUGGGAAAAUUUGGUUUUAUCAUAUCUGUCCCUGAGUUCUUGGUGUGCGUGAUAUGGUACACCCCCUCUUACUGGUUGCUUCUGCCCCAGUUCAGAGGGGGGCAGAGAGCUCAUCCUGCAAAAAGCUGCUGCAGCACUUCUCUUUUGAUCAAGUUGUGUCUUAUUUUCCACAGCAAUAUAAGAAAAGGAGUUUGUCUAAACUCCCAUAUGCAACUAACAGAUGCUUGUGAGCAUGGAUGUUGUAUAAUCAAUGAAUGAUAACUUACAAAAUCUUUAAACUUGCAGAAAGAAUUCAGAAUUUCAGCAAAUUUCUGUCUUGUCUGGCUGCUCGUUAUAGGGAAAAAAGCCAGUUGUGCAUAAACCCCAUCUGUUCUUAGUAAUGUUCUGGAGUAAUGUAUGUGAUUGGGAGGGAUAUUGGAGCAAUGCUGUUGGAAAACCAGAGAAACUGAAUAUGGGAUUGGGAUUCCAUUUGAUUCACAUUUGAUGCUGCAAUAAUAAGCAAUUCAACUUUUUGCAAAAUUAUUGGCAGAAAAAUUAAGUGUAAUGUACGCCUUGAAAGAAAUGUUCUAAGUUAUUUAAAUUAUGCCUUCAUUUUGCAAUGCUGUGUAAUAUGUUUAUACAAACUACAGCUCUAAUCCUUGCUUAUGUAGAUGCUGCACUGAAUUCCUUCUCUCAGUAUUCAGUAGAGCAAGAUACAGACUUUACUGAAUAGUGGAAUGAAAGACUGAGAGUGAAGGUGUCAUUUCAUAACAUGACUGACUGACAACUCAGUUUAAUUGUUCUUCUGGUCUGUGAUACACAGACAGAGAAUUUUGCAACAUUUUGUAAGAUUUAGUUGAGAAACACCCAACAUAUAAGUCAAGACAGUAAAAUGUAAUUUUAAUUGUAGGAAAGAUAAAAAAAGUAUUUGUGGAAGGACAACACAAUAUUUUUAUGCAUUUCUCCUAAUUUGUACUCCUUCCUUUUCCACUAAGUAUACUCUGUAGUAGAGGUAGCUGGGGUAAGCUAUGGACUUAAAUUUUUGGUGUGCUACAACGCAGCAGCCAGCAGGAUGUAUUACUCUAACAGACAGAAAGAGUAACCCCAGAAACCUCUACAUUUCUUUGGGUCUGAUGCAAUUUUACAGAGCUGCAAAACAACUCUGGUGAAAUCGUGUUUAUGCCUGAAGACUCAAAUGGAUCGGAGGGACAGCAGAGAGAAGAUGGGGGAGGAGAGGAAGCACUGAACUCUACUUUCCACAAAAUAAGGCCUCUGGAAAUAAGAUGGUGCCAAAAUCUCUGCACUUGUGCUUAAAAGGUCCUUUCUAGUUUAGGCAAGAAAGAUCCUUGUCCCGACAAGCUUACAGGCUAAUUGAAACCUUUAUGUGUCUGCACAACACAACAAAAUAGAAAGUCGAAAUACUCUAACAUAGUUUGUGUCAAAAUAUACACUUUGGUUGGACCAGCCACGAGAAAAGGGUGGAUAUUAAUGUGGAAUAAGGUGCCAUGUGGCACAUGGAAGCCAACUGAACGGCUCAGGGAGAGCAGCUCCACAGGACAAGCCUGGGUAAUUAGGCAGGAAAGAAAUGAUGCAGAAAGCUUAGAAAGUCAGGACUUGUGAGACAUAUGGCAAGAACAGCAAACUGAAUAGACUUAAUUGUCUGCAUUAUGUGUUUGAAGUUGGAGUAGCAGGUGAAAGGAGUAAGGAAGAUGUGGCCACCUGAGAGACUUUGAAGAUAUCAUCUGUAACUUAGAGGCAGAAGGAAGGUGAACUGUGAAGAAGUACUAAAUUCAAUUUAAGAAAAGCUAUGGAUAUCUAUUUUGGAGGAAAGCUGAGCCCACUGAUACUCAGGAAACCAUUCUGAGAAAAUCAAUAUCGGUACGGAUGCAGGUCAGCACUUGUUGAUAUUGGAAGCCGUUUGCCUGAAGAACAACCAUGAGCCUCUUGAUGAUUUGUGAAGAAAUCUGGAGAUGAUUUGUGUAAGAGGAAGGAAUGAUGCUCUGUUUUAUUCUACCAGCAUCUCACAGCCUUUCUGCUAGGACACUUAAAGCCCUACUGGAGUUCUGUGGCCAGGGAGUUAGGAUUUUGCAUUGGGACCCAAAGUCUGGAUCUGUUGUGGGACUGUGACCAAGAAAGUGAGGAAUGGCUGAAGCAAAACCUCUGAAGGCAUAAGAUCACCAGGCAGGCCCAUGGUCUUGCCUUUAAGAAUGCACAGAAAGCAUUGGUGCUGUAUUUUCACAGUGAGAUGCAGCUGAUGGCUCAACAGUUUGCAAUGGCUACUCCAGACAUCCAAGAGGUGUAGAACACAUCUGUACAGAGCAGGCAAAUGCCAUGAAAAAACUAUGAGACUAAAGUGAACUUCUGGAGAUUCAAGUGGAAUACCAUAAGGCAAGUGAAUCCUAUCCUUUCUUGUGCUUAUGAACUUGUAACAGUGACUCAAUAGGACCAAGCAAUGAAUUCAUUCUAAACAAUAAUCAGAUCCAGUAUUGGCUAUAUGGGAUGAUAGCAUCUUGUAUAAAGUGACUGCAGCUCAAAAUGGGCCAGACCUCCUAGAUAAGCAAACAACCCAGCAAUGUCCACCUUUUGGCUCUGAGCCCAAGAGUCAUGUUUUACUGAUUGUUAUGAUUUGGCCUUUGAGCUCUGGUGACAGUCAAACAGGGACUUACAAUGCACCAGCCUACAAAUUCCAACAAAGACAGCAUGAGAUCUGGGAUGCUUCCUGUUUCUAUAAGGAAAUUCUGAAUUUAUCUGAGUGCUUAAGUAAUAAUUCUCCGUGCUUUUAUGUCUUUCAUCCAAGCAACUUGAAAUAUUUGACUACAAAGUGUUUCAUAGCUUCUGAAGAGUAAGAAACAGUGAAAUGGGUUCCAGGGCAUAUGAUAAUUCAAAUAUAUGUGGCUAGUAUAUUCCAGGAAAAAUCUCCCACACUCAACAGAAAGACUGUGGGUAGGAGGAACAAAUGAGAGACAAUGAGUCAUCCACAAUCAAAACAGAGUUUAGGCUUCCUAAAGUGAAAAAGAACCAUUAGAAAACAUUAAGAAAUUGAACACUGUAGUUUCCUUUUAGAGAAAAGGCACAAAUAGCAAUGGACAGAUAAAAAAGAGCCUCUGAGAACACUACAGCAUGGAAGCACAAUGGUCUUUGUGUGAGUAAUCAACAACCACUGUAGCACUGCUCUGUCCUUUGCUUCGGAUGAACACUGUUGAGCAACUCUGUCUCAUCUCCAGAAGCUUUCAACACUCGUACUGCUUAGUCCCUUUCUUUUCUCAGAGCUUUGUAGCUCCACAUAUUUCUCUUCACCAUUAAAACAAGGAUUUACAUUUAAUAAAGACUUGGAAAAUAUAAAGAAUUUUCAGCAGGUAGAAAAAGAAGACUUCUAGUAAAAAAAAAACAACAAAACAAACUUGGGCCUUUUCAGACUGAUUAAUUACAUUUUCUUAGAAGGCCAAGCAAUACAAAUGUUUCUUGCUCAUUACUGCAGUUUUAAAAAAGGCUGGGGUUUUCUUAUAAUUUGUUUAGAUGGUUUGUGUCCAGUUAAAUAUAUGGUCCUUUUGUAAGAAGCACUGCUCUGUAAGUACUGAACAUUAAGAACCAUAUGCAACACAUCACUAGCAAUCCCACAGUGUAAGUCAAUAUACAUAUGCAUUCACAUUUCACACAUUAAAAGGAAAAGUUAAAUUAAUGCUUCAGCUGAAUUUUAAAUUCUGUUUUAAUCAUAAUUGAGAAGAAUGGCUAAUUUAAAUCUAUUUACAAAGUUAAGAUUGAAAACAUUCAUAUUUCACAGUAACCAAUACAUCUGGUAUUUUACCAAAACAUGGUGCACCUGAAAAACAAAACUUACCUGUUUUUUUAGCUGUCAGCUCUUUGCCACUGUGGUGGCCAAAAUAAAUCCGCAAAUUUCCCAGAUAUGAACUAGUUUUUUUUUAAUCCUAUUGUUUAGGUGAAAACACUUCUCACUAUGGUGAAAAGUAAAAAUACUGGUUAUGUAUCUUUCACAUAAGUAUGUCUUUCAACACUGUAUUUUUAGCUACAGGUAGCAAAUUUUAAAAAUCUGCUGAGGGCACUACUGUAGUUGAGAUGACUGCAUCAAUUAAAAUACAGAAUGUUAUCCUGGACAGUUUUAAACUUAGGCGUGUAGUUCAAAACAAACAGAAGGUAAAAAACCCCAAAUAUGUCUAAAAUAAUGGACUCUCAAUAUUCCUAAUUUCCAGAUAGGAUAAUACUGUAAUUUUUUAAACUUGAAUGUGCAUUAGCUGGACUUCCACUGGCAGGUAUUAUAUUUAGCAAUGGUCAGUUCAGUGUCCCAUAGAUCUGGGCAGCAUUUACAGUAAUACACACUCACUGCUACUCCCACUUUGCAGUGUGGGGCAUGGGCUGGCUACCAAAAGGGACAGGCCAGAAGCCACUUGAAAUUCCUCCCGACCUGAGCACAGAGCUACACAGCUAAGGUAAUAAUUUUGUAACAGAAAUGGAAAAGUGUCAUAUCCUAGCACACUAACUGAAGCCAUGGGGUUAGAAACACUGGGAAAACACUGCGUGGUGUAUAUCAAGAAAUUAGUUGGCUUCUUUUAUUGAUUUAGGAAGAGCAUCAAUUACUGAUAAUCCACCUUUAAAAUGCAGUAAAACAAUGCAAGUGUUUAUAAAUGAUAAGGUGUAGGAAUGUUAUGAGCUUAGAGGCAAAACACACCUUAAAAAUACAAGAUUCAAUUAUGUUCUGUAAAUAGUGUUGCCCCCCGCCCCCACUUUUAAGUGCUGCUAUGAAAGAUAAAGUGGAUAAAUUUGAUGUUUACAAUGCAGUACCUCAAUUUAGUUUUCUCUCUGUAACUGGUAGCUUUUUUUUGUUUCUAUGCCUUGUCAGAUUGCUUUUCCUUUCCUCCUCCUAACCAUCUUCUCAACAAUGCUGCAAUAAAACUGACAUACCCGAGACCUCAUUUUCAUCUCCUACUGGACAGUGAGAAAUGAAACCCAACUGAACUUUGUUUUUAAUGCACAGAGAUUUCUCAAGAGCACAGCAGAAGCACCACUCUCUCUAGACAGACACACCUUUUCUUCUUGCUAGAAGGCUAUCUUUUCUAGAAAAAUGUCUGCCUAGCACUUGAAGAAACUGCAUGUACAGCCAUUGGAAACCCAUGGAAUUUAUCUACUCAAAAGUGCAAUCUCAUAGGCAGUAAUUCUGUGAUAAUCUUGAACACAGCUGUAAUACACUCAACUAUAUAUUUAUUUACAUCUUUUUUGUGCUUAACUCUCUGGCAGGUAGAUAAGGUGAAGCCUAAUACAGAGGUACUGCUGCCCUCCCCAACUACUGAGAGUUACACAAAAUGCUUAGUAUUUUAUCAAGCAGAAUUUAGUCCCCUCCAUCCUGUCCAUGUAACAGUGUCCUGUAACAGUGACUUAAGGUAUAUGAAACACACACCUUAUCAAGAAAGCUGACAGGUACAAGAUUUAGGUCAAAAGUGGAAAAAAACUUUUGUUUCACUUAGUGUUGUCUUUUCUCCCCAGAUUAAUGACUGCAUAAUUAAUAUACAACCACAGGAACAACGAGAAUGUAGCUCUUCCUACUCUUGUGUAAGUGGACGAAUCAUAAAGGUAUCUCUUCUGGUUCCUUUAUUCCAGACUGAGGAAGAGCCAGUUCUACCAGGAGCUGAUAUUGUGGCUUACUACACCCUUCUUCACAGUUGUUGUACAGCUCAAGUAGUAAGAGAUACAAAUCUGAAUUCUUCCAGACUAAGAUGUGCUUAAAACCUUCAUCUUUCAGCUCUUCAGCAAUCACAUAACAACCCUACUGGACAAAUACAGGCAUUAUCUCUUCCAGGAUUACGCAGAAUACAUGGACAUGUCCCUUUUGAAGACUACAUCAUCAGCUUACUACUUUGAAUGACACACUACUAUAGCUUCUGCUUGGAAUGUUACCCAUCAGUUUGCUUUAAUGUCAAGGGAAAUAUGUUUUUGUUGUCAAACACAGCACAGAACUUUCAUGUAAUUGGUCUUUGAGAUUUUUAGUUUGGCUCUAGACCUUACUCUGUUAAGGCAUUCAUCACUUUGCAAAGAUAAAUGUAUUUCAGAUAUUCAUCUGUUUUGGGGCAUGUUUGAUUACAGUAGCUAUACUCUGUACACCAUGAAUGAUUCCAUACUGAAUCACACACACAAUAUAUUUUUUUCAAGCGACUGUAAUGGGUGAGUGAAGAAUUGCUUCUUUCCCUAAAGAAGAGUAGUACAGCAUAUUAACACCUUCCUGUUACAGACAGCAUCACAGAGGGCUGAUGACAUCCAACAGCCUAUGCUUAUGAUUUGGCCAACAGAGACACUGGAAGUAAUAGCCAACACUUUUGAAAGAGCAUGCUUCCCAGUAGUCAUUAGCCUUUGCCUCUAUUUCCAAAGGUGUUAUCAGCUGUGAACAUUAUAGCAGUAAUUGAAUUUGCUUUUUAUGAUCAUUGCAGGCCUUUACUGUAAUACACAGAGGCUACUGCUGGCAUUAUCAUAAUUCUUCUAACUUUGAGAUUAGAUUAAUGCAAUAAAACUUCACCUUAAAAGAGAAACUUGGAGAGUACUACAGGUUACAUGAUACAAGAAGGGCUACCUAGAUGAAAACAUAGCUGAAGAUAGGAAUUUCUGCUUGUGUCUACAGAGAAAUUGAGACAUUGAGUAGUUACUAAAAGAACCUUACAAGACCACAAGACCUGGUUAUCUUGAACAGACUAAGCAACCUCUACCUCCCUGCCCCCUUCCCUGAUAUCAACACCACACAACCUCUCCCCCAUAUCCACAGAACCUGUUUACCCAGGCCUGUACCAUGUCCUCCCCGCAGCCUUCCUUCCCCAUGGGAAAGCUGUAAAAUUAGGAGAGUGCAAAAGGAUUUCUACUGUUUUAAUAGAUCAGGCUAUAGUCAUGCCAGUCUUGAUGGCAGCUAUGCCUUCUCACAGCUCUUUAACCUGAAUUAAUUCAACUUUAUUCUCCCAGGAAUUCUUAAAACACCCUUUUAUACAAUGUGGGAGUGUGGGAAUGUAAAGGGAGAGAGCAGAACAUAAGGUAUGCUGAGAGGGCUUUCAGGUAGCAUUUUUGGCUUUUGCUGUAUACUUGCUAAAGAAAGAUACCAUGUUGAUUUGCCUAUCUGAAACCAAUGAUGAGGUAUUAAAACAUUCCGCUUUUCCAAGGGCUUUUUUCUAAAGACUUAAUUCAGAGUUUUGAAGCAUCUAUGGAAAAAAAUCAAGGACAAGAAUUUUCCUGUCAUUUAUACCUAAUUAAACAGGCAGCUACAUCACAUAGCUUUGCCUCAAUUUCUGUACUGUUCUGAGGAAAUAAUUCAGCUUAACAAUGUGAGCAAACUAGAGCUUGAAUUUUGCAUUGCACUGGCAUGAGUGAUUCCACAAGUGUUGGUGUGCACCCAUCUCAGUUUUCACUGAAUAAGCACAAAAUAUCUCAGGACAAACUAUAUUGUUCCCAUUAGUAGAUUACUGGUGUUACUGCACAACAACCUGUGCUGGUAUUUCUUACCUUGUAUUGUCUGCUUACAUUUGAGCACUGGAAACUCUUUAUGUGCAGGAAGCAAUAAUGAAGUGGUAUGGGAACAGCUGCACCAAAUCUGCUAAAAAGUCUCCAUAUGCUAUCUUUACUGUGAGAAUCAUCAGUCCAGAACAAUUAUUCUAACAUCAUCUACGUUCACCUAAUUUUAAGAGGAAAGCUUGCUGUUCAGCAGAUACCCUUAAUCAAAUGGAAGGAUUCGACAGCAUGGUUUGUCAGGGUUAAAAAGAGCCUUGACUCACCAGCUAAAAAUUAGCAAGCAAAGGGCUACAAAAAUGCUUAAUUGUCCAGACUGGUCUACAAGAAAUAAAAGGAUGGCAAUUUUGUUAAGCAGGUAAAGUUGUAUUUUAGCUUGUCACAAUCUUAAGACAAGAUCAGAAUAGAGCAAACACAAUAAUGUUACUUAAAUAGAAACCGCAUUGUUUUGUCAUCCAUAAGCAUACUGCAGUGUGCUGUGGGCAAGCUAUUGAUGAACUAAGAAUCUAUAUUUAAAAUAAUGGUUUGUAACACUGUUAUUCUUUGAUAACAAAGAUAGUAUUUUCUUACUGAAUAUACAAUUUUUUAAGGAUGUAAGCAGUAAGACCAACUUACCUUACAUAAGCCAUUAAUUUCUACUAAUGUAAACAAAACCCUGAAACGACAUAAAAACUCCAAUGUCCAAAUAACGAAUUCUGUCUACCUGCUUUAAGGGGAAAUAUACAAUGAACACUGGACAUAAUGCAAUAAUCCAAGGCAUUCUUACUGUUAUGAGAACUACGCAUUCUCUCUAUUUUUGUCAAUGCACAUCUUUCAGGAAAAGCAGAGUUAACACUGCUUGACAAUACCCAGUGACACUGUACACCUGUCAAGAUGACGUGUGUCUGUUUCUUUUCAGUUUAGGAAGCAUUGUUCAUUGUCAUUAACCUAACAUCGAAAGUAUCUUCAAAUACUAUGCAGUACGUAUUGAAACGCAUUCGAAUUUUUUACAGAUUUCAAGCAAUAGGUAGACUUUAUACCUAGACCUAUGAAAUAUGACUGUUUUCAGCGAGCUACGUGAAGAAUGCAGCGAUAUUUAUCCAGCUUUGUUACUAAAGCUCUGCCAAGCUACCGCGAACUGCCUCAAAGCUUCCUGACAGCCUUUUAAGUGCUAAACACCAAGUGAGAGCACCGAGUAGCUGCGUGGGGAAGGAGGAAUACGUACAAGCAACCGCGUCGCGCUGCUUUGC
Motacilla alba alba is the source of this 18179-nucleotide long non-coding RNA. RefSeq lists it as uncharacterized. The transcript has 7 exons. Lineage: Eukaryota; Metazoa; Chordata; Aves; Passeriformes; Motacillidae. The record is from RefSeq and is a predicted model, not a curated record.